This 714-nucleotide long non-coding RNA is filed under the name Coturnix japonica (Japanese quail). RNAcentral's name for it is "lncRNA (ENSCJPG00005005318.1)". Lineage: Eukaryota; Metazoa; Chordata; Aves; Galliformes; Phasianidae. The record is from RNAcentral.
GGUCAUUCUAAUACAUUGGCUCUUAUUUCUCUGGCACUAUCAGUUUUUCUAUCCUUGCAGCUUCCAGCCUUUAUGGGUUCAUAGGCAGAAGUAAUGAAUGAGCAAUGUGAGCAGCAUCUUUCUUUACUCUCCCUGCCAACUUGGACUAUAUCCACAGGCUUCUAACUUUUAAGGGGUUUUAAUUUUCUAUGGCCAUGAAGAAAGUCAGAAGAUCUGGGCAACAAGUUCUGUGAGUCUACAGCUCACAGGAGGAGGAGUUUCAUCUUAGCUAUGAUUCAAAGAAGUCUGAAGGGUCAGGUCUGAGACACCUGUGUUCCUGGCUGAAGACAAUUACCAUUAGACUCUGUAAAUUCAGGACUUCAAGGUCCACAACUGCCAGUGGAUCAUCCUUCAUCAGCAUGGAAAAAAAAUCACUUUCUUCUCUCAGCUGAAGUUACCAAUGAACCUCUGAAGCCUGCUGAAACUUUUGGCGCAGCUUCCUACUUGAUCCUAUGAACCAGCACUAUGCUUAAUGUGCAACGCAGGUAGAGUGGACCCAAUUCCCUGCUGGUGUCAACUAGAGGCAGCCUUUUAUAUAGCGUUACAUUUACAUUAACCUCUCUGAACAUGCCCCAACAGGAGACUUGGCCCUUUACCCUCUGGAGCUUUUAAAGAAUUCACAUUAAUGAAAAUAGAAUAAGACAACAAGAACAUGAAAGAGCAGGUAGACUUAAC